GACGAACGCUGGCGGCGUGCUUAACACAUGCAGGUCGAACGGAAAGGCCCUGCUUUUGUGGGGUGCUCGAGUGGCGAACGGGUGAGUAACACGUGAGUAACCUGCCCUUGACUUUGGGAUAACUUCAGGAAACUAGGGCUAAUACCGGAUAGGAGCUCCUGCUGCAUGGUGGGGGUUGGAAAGUUUCGGCGGUUGGGGAUGGACUCGCGGCUUAUCAGCUUGUUGGUGGGGUAGUGGCUUACCAAGGCUUUGACGGGUAGCCGGCCUGAGAGGGUGACCGGCCACAUUGGGACUGAGAUACGGCCCAGACUCCUACGGGAGGCAGCGGUGGGGAAUAUUGCACAAUGGGCGGAAGCCUGAUGCAGCAACGCCGCGUGCGGGAUGACGGCCUUCGGGUUGUAAACCGCUUUCGCCUGUGACGAAGCGUGAGUGACGGUAAUGGGUAAAGAAGCACCGGCUAACUACGUG
RNAcentral lists this ribosomal RNA (468 nucleotides) under uncultured bacterium. RNAcentral describes it as "partial 16S ribosomal RNA". It matches the Rfam family "Bacterial small subunit ribosomal RNA", at positions 28 to 507 of the family's 1533-position model. The record is from RNAcentral.